UGAAUACGAGAUGCUAAGGCGUCGAAGUAGUGUAUGUCAUGCUUCCAAGAAAAGCUUGCAAUGUCAUAAAUAAAGAAUGCCUGUACCAUAACCGACACAGGUGGGUAAGUAGAGUAUACUAAGGGGCGCGAGAUAACUCUCUCUAAGGAGCUCGGCAAAAUAACUCCGUAACUUCGGGAGAAGGAGUGCCUUAUUCUUAAGGUUGCAAUAACAAGAUCCAAGCAACUGUUUAUCAAAAACACAGGUCUCCGCUAAGUCGUAAGACGAUGUAUGGGGGCUGACGCCUGCCCAGUGCCAGAAGGUUAAAGAAGUCGGUUAGCAAUUGCGAAGCUGGUAACUGAAGCCCUGGUGAACGGCGGCCGUAACAAUAACGGUCCUAAGGUAGCGAAAUUCCUUGUCGGGUAAGUUCCGACCCGCACGAAAGGCGUAAUGAUUUGGAUGCUGUCUCGGAGAGGGGCUCGGUGAAAUAGACUUGUCUGUGAAGAUGCGGACUACCUGCACCAGGACAGAAAGACCCUAUGAAGCUUUACUGUAACUUGAAAUUGAAAUUGGACUUUAUUCGCGCAGUAUAGGUGGGAGGCGUUGAUUAUAAUCUUGCGGGAUUAUCGGAGCCAUCAGUGAGAUACCACUCUUCUAAUGUUAGAUUUCUAACUUUGAAUCAUUAUCUGGUCAAAGGACAAUUUCAGGCGGGCAGUUUGACUGGGGCGGUCGCCUCCUAAAUGGUAACGGAGGCGUACAAAGGUUUCCUCUGAACGGUUAGAAAUCGUAUCUAGAGUGUAAAGGCAUAAGGAAGCUUGACUGUGAGACCUACAAGUCGAGCAGGGACGAAAGUCGGUCUUAGUGAUCUGACGGUACUGAGUGGAAAGGCCGUCACUCAACGGAUAGAAGUUACUCUAGGGAUAACAGGCUGAUCUCCCCCAAGAGUUCACAUCGACGGGGAGGUUUGGCACCUCGAUGUCGGCUCAUCGCAUCCUGGGGCGGUAGUACGUCCCAAGGGUUGGGCUGUUCGCCCAUGAAAGCGGUACGCGAGCUGGGUUCAGAACGUCGUGAGACAGUUCGGUCCAUAUCCGGUGUAGGCGUUAGAAUAUUGAGAGGAGCCUUCUUUAGUACGAGAGGACCGAGAAGGACAUACCUCUGGUGUACCAGUUAUCGUGCCAACGGUAAACGCUGGGUAGCUAUGUAUGGAGUGGAUAACCGCUGAAAGCAUCUAAGA
Molecule: ribosomal RNA, 1213 nt
Filed under: metagenome
Description: bacterial LSU rRNA
Rfam family: Bacterial large subunit ribosomal RNA
Source: RNAcentral